UGAUGAGCCAGAUGGCAGAGGGGCUGCUUCAGCCACAUUGUCUUCCAAGGUGAUGUGACAGCAUACUCAGCCCGCCCGACCCCACUGAGGAGAAAACUGCUACCAUUAGUAAACAGGGUUAAAUCAGCCUAAGCGAGGGGAUGUUCAAGGGUGUCCGGUCUGCUUGCAGACACUUCAUCUGAGAGUUCCACACAGUCAUGGUCAAGACUGAGAAGGGUUUCAGUGUGAACGCAUGGAUAUCCAGCGGUGCCUGUGUGAAUCCAUCAGGGUGUCAAUAGCAUGGGGGACCUUGAGGCAAGUAGGCUGUCCAAGAGUCAGCUUCUUUGCCUCAUUAAGCAAGAGAUUGUGGCAGAAAGAGAACGCAGGCAAGGGGGCCACCCAGCGGCCACUGUGUCAAGGUGUUUGGACAGCCUUCAGGGACUGAUUGAAGGCAGUAUGUGAGGGAGAUCAAAAUUGAAAGUUGCCCUGAGAAAUUCAGCCAGGAAGAAUGCCAAGGCCCCACAGACAGAUAAGCUCCGGGCUUGUGCCGGGGCAGUCCAAGGUCCUUGAUAAAACUUCAGCACUGAGACCCCAGGUGCAAAAAGCAACUUUCCAACAAAG
This 600-nucleotide long non-coding RNA is filed under the name Monodelphis domestica (gray short-tailed opossum). RNAcentral's name for it is "lncRNA (ENSMODG00000045806.1)". Lineage: Eukaryota; Metazoa; Chordata; Mammalia; Didelphimorphia; Didelphidae. The record is from RNAcentral.